AAGUCUGUAUUUUUAAAAGCAACUAAGGUUAUGUUCACACGGAACCAGACGGAUUGAAGAGACGUGCUUGAAUUCGUCUGGUCACAGGUCUGUCGUUCACAUGAUGAACAUUUGGACCCAUCUUAUAUUUCGACAGAGGUGAUCGGGCGAUUUAGAUGACUAUAGAAAGGUCUUAUUCCAUUAAUUAAUAUACCAACCCCAGCGUUUGUUCAGGGAUGGAUUCACCCAGAGGUAAUUGCUGCGAAAAAUGUUGCUUGUGACGUAUUGUUUCCGAUGAUAACACGGAAAUAUGUCACCUAAACAUAUCGUAAGUUCCGGCUUGUCAAUUUAUAGCAUGACGGGGUCAUCUUAUACUAUAACAACAUAUACAUCAAUAACUGCUUGAUUUGUUACAACAACAGAUAUUACCAACCGUGAUUACUUAACUACAGAAGAAUUAAGAAGAUCAGUCAUUACCACAAGGGUACAUCCUAAGGAGAACCUGUCUUGUCAGACGAAAUACGAUACGAGAGAUUAGGCGUACAUGAAAGAGCUGAGCACAACCAGAGAGAGGAGACUCUUUGGAAACAUUCUUGGCUAUCUGGAGAUCACAUUAGACAAUAAAUUGUGCACGACAAUUUUCGGCUGAAUGUGCAGUAUGGCGGGGCAGUCACAGAACGAGGAACCAAACACAAGCAAAAUUUGCAACGACACACAUUUGAAAGAGGUGAGAUUUUGUGAUGAUAUUGAGGUGCAUUACGUUCCAUCACGAACCUUCUGGCAAAGAAUGAAAACGAACAUCAAAUAUUCACCGCAACAUUUCAAAAGGAAAGUUAAAUCUAUGAAAAACUCUGUUUCAGAUUCGUAUCAUGUCAUGGUUGAGCUACUAACGUAAUCAGUAUUCAGCAUAAGUGAUUUAGCGGAAUAAUUUAAUACGAAAGUUGAAAGGAAGGAAAAGUGGGACCGUGAAUGGUUUGAAAGACAAAUGGUUUGAACACAAAAAUGUGAAAAUCUCAUCUAUCCAAAAAGUUCACAAAUCUGGUCAAUGUGAAGCAACAGUGCAGUCAUUUUGAGACAGAACUCUAAAAUCACCAUGCACUACAUGCAGUCAUGUGAACUAAUUAUAAAUCAUCUUCUUAUGUAAUUUAAGCAGUAUAUUUAUC
Molecule: long non-coding RNA, 1142 nt
Organism: Dendronephthya gigantea
Lineage: Eukaryota; Metazoa; Cnidaria; Anthozoa; Malacalcyonacea; Nephtheidae
Exons: 4
Source: RefSeq, a predicted model, not a curated record